Molecule: non-coding RNA, 112 nt
Organism: Acanthosepion pharaonis
Lineage: Eukaryota; Metazoa; Mollusca; Cephalopoda; Sepiida; Sepiidae
Source: the annotation of a GenBank genome assembly
UUAUGGCCAUAUCACAUGGAAACACCAGUUCCUGUAAGAGCACCAAAGUUAAGCAACACUGAGCAUGGUCAGUACAUAGAUUGGUGACUGCUUGGAAAUAAUAGGUGCUGUA